This is a long non-coding RNA of Cynoglossus semilaevis (tongue sole), 535 nucleotides long. RefSeq lists it as uncharacterized. The transcript has 5 exons. The record is from RefSeq and is a predicted model, not a curated record. NCBI's taxonomy places the organism in Eukaryota, Metazoa, Chordata, Actinopteri, Pleuronectiformes, Cynoglossidae.
ACAGGCCACCUCGGGGGUCAGUGGCGCCAUCUAUUUCCAGAGCCCAGCAGAAAGACCAGACAUGUCCAGGAGUCCCACGUCUCAGGUUUCUGACCAGUGACAUCAUGAAGAUGUUUGUUCUCCUCUGCAGCGGAGCUGAGGAAUGAGGACAGUGUCGUCGGUGACUAAUCUGUCGUCCUCCCCCGUCGUCCACAUGUGGAGAGGAAGUGAACGGCUGAAGAAGAACCGGACGAUGACUCAACGUCUAUUAUCCAUAAUACGCCUUCACCUGCUGAGGUUUUCAUUAUGGACUUUCAAAUGGAGAAAAAAAAAAGGAGUCAGAGCACCUCCGCAGAAGGAAAAACCAGGAAAAACAGUCAAGUGUUAGCGCCAAGUCAGACGACAUCACAGGGGAACAGGCUUUAAACCAGGGGUCUGCGACCACAUGGACCCCCAGGAUGAUGGGAUGAUGAUCGGGGAGAUUAUAUAUAUCAUCAGGAAACUCCUCACAGCACAGCAGCAAACAAAAAUCUCACCAAAAGUAUAUGGAAUGAAA